GAUGAACGCUGGCGGCGUGCCUAAUACAUGCAAGUCGAGCGAACUUUUGGGAGAUUGCUCCCAAUAGUUAGCGGCGGACGGGUGAGUAACACGUGGGUAACCUGCCUGUAAGACUGGGAUAACUUCGGGAAACCGGAGCUAAUAUCGGAUAACAUUGAAGACAACAUGGCCUUCAAUUAAAAGGUGGCUUUUAGCUACCACUUACAGAUGGACCCGCGGCGCAUUAGCUAGUUGGUGAGGUAACGGCUCACCAAGGCGCCGAUGCGUAGCCGACCUGAGAGGUUGAUGGGCACAAUUGGAACUGAGACACGCCCCAGAUCCCUCGGGGAGGCAGAGGAGGGGAAUUUUCGCAAAUGGCGGAAAGCUGGCGGAAGAACGCCCGCGUGGGGGAGGAAGGCUUCCGGGCGUUAAACUCUGUUUGUUGGGAAAGAAAAGUAGCGGUCGAAUAGGGCGGUGCCUUGACGGUACCUAACCAGAAAGCCACGGCUAACUACGUG
This 497-nucleotide ribosomal RNA is filed under the name uncultured bacterium. RNAcentral describes it as "partial 16S ribosomal RNA". It matches the Rfam family "Bacterial small subunit ribosomal RNA", at positions 28 to 507 of the family's 1533-position model. The record is from RNAcentral.